RNAcentral lists this ribosomal RNA (495 nucleotides) under uncultured bacterium. RNAcentral describes it as "partial 16S ribosomal RNA". It matches the Rfam family "Bacterial small subunit ribosomal RNA", at positions 28 to 507 of the family's 1533-position model. The record is from RNAcentral.
GACGAACGCUGGCGGCGUGCCUAAUACAUGCAAGUAGAACGCUGAAGGAGGAGCUUGCUUCUCCGGAUGAGUUGCGAACGGGUGAGUAACGCGUAGGUAACCUGUCUGGUAGCGGGGGAUAACUAUUGGAAACGAUAGCUAAUACCGCAUAAGAGUAGAUGUUGCAUGACAUUUGCUUAAAAGGUGCAAUUGCAUCACUACCAGAUGGACCUGCGUUGUAUUAGCUAGUUGGUGGGGUAACGGCUCACCAAGGCGACGAUACAUAGCCGACCUGAGAGGGUGAUCGGCCACACUGGGACUGAGACACGGCCCAGACUCCUACGGGAGGCAGCAGUAGGGAAUCUUCGGCAAUGGACGGAAGUCUGACCGAGCAACGCCGCGUGAGUGAAGAAGGUUUUCGGAUCGUAAAGCUCUGUUGUAAGAGAAGAACGAGUGUGAGAGUGGAAAGUUCACACUGUGACGGUAUCUUACCAGAAAGGGACGGCUAACUACGUG